CGGAAACAGUUCGCAGACAUUUGCCAUCUCAGAGCCCAGAGCAGGACAGGAGCUCUGAGCACACACUUGGACUCUUUCCCCCGGAGAGGGGAACGUUUACUCUGCCAGAGUAUUUCAGUUGACUGUGGCUCUUUGGCCAGCAUCAGUCAAUGUCAGGUGAAUGGAGUUGCCAGUGAAAGCAUCAGAGCUGGCCUUGAGCACAUGAAGUAAAGGAAGCAAACUGGGAGGGCAGAGUACGGCGGUGACCGGAACGCAGAACGUGGCGUCCACGUAAGAACGUCAGACACUUCUCACCACAGAAUAAUCAAGGCUGGUGACUUCAGAGUUUGCCCUGGGAAUUUCUGAAGAUUGGAAUUUCUUCAUGCAGCCAGAAUCUAUCACUCAAGUGGUGACUACAACAUGUGCUCAGGAAAGUCCCGUGCACAAGACAAGGACAUCCAGUUCUGUUUUAAAACCAAGCUUGGAGUAGACCACACAGACAGCUCACCCACCCGCAUCGCCCCUGGAGCACGUCCAGCCUUCUGGUCCCUCGGUGGGUGCUUUUCUGUCUUCUAGGAAAGGAGACAAUCUAUAUGGAGAUCAGGAAGUCCCUAACGGCGCUGUAGUCUGACCUGAGUAGCUGACCUUGCAGGUUUAAACUCUUGAAGGAGCUGUUGGUUUUCAGUCAAGCCUCCGUCUAUAAUUUUAUCCACCAGUUUCCCAAUUAACUUCACUAAGAUGACCAGAGGUGUGUGCGUGUGUUGAAGUAAUAAUUAUCAG
RNAcentral lists this long non-coding RNA (759 nucleotides) under Heterocephalus glaber (naked mole-rat). RNAcentral's name for it is "lncRNA (ENSHGLG00000048251.1)". The record is from RNAcentral. Lineage: Eukaryota; Metazoa; Chordata; Mammalia; Rodentia; Bathyergidae.